RNAcentral lists this ribosomal RNA (468 nucleotides) under uncultured bacterium. RNAcentral's name for it is "partial 16S ribosomal RNA". It matches the Rfam family "Bacterial small subunit ribosomal RNA", at positions 28 to 507 of the family's 1533-position model. The record is from RNAcentral.
GACGAACGCUGGCGGCGUGCUUAACACAUGCAAGUCGAACGGAAAGGCCCUGCUUUUGUGGGGUGCUCGAUUGGCGAACGGGUGAGUAACACGUGAGUAACCUGCCCUUGACUUUGUGAUAACUUCUGGAAACUGGGGCUAAUACCGGAUAGGAUCUCUUGCUGCAUGGUGGGGGUUGGAAAGUUUCGGCGGUUGGGGAUGGACUCGCGGCUUAUCAGCUUGUUGGUGGGGUAGUGGCUUACCAAGGCUUUGACGGGUAGGCGGCCUGAGAGGGUGACCGGCCACAUUGGGACUGAGAUACGGCCCAGACGCCUAUGGGAGGCAACAGUGGGGAAUAUUGCAGAACGGGCCGAAGCCAGAUGCAGAGACGCCGCGAGCGGGAUAACGGCUUUCGGGUUAUAAACAGCUUUCGACUGUGACGAAGCGGGAGUGACGGUAAUGGGUAAAGAAGCACCGGCUAACUACGUG